This 496-nucleotide ribosomal RNA is filed under the name uncultured bacterium. RNAcentral describes it as "partial 16S ribosomal RNA". It matches the Rfam family "Bacterial small subunit ribosomal RNA", at positions 28 to 506 of the family's 1533-position model. The record is from RNAcentral.
GAUGAACGCUGGCGGCGUGCCUAAUACAUGCAAGUCGAGCGAACAGACGAGGAGCUUGCUCCUCUGACGUUAGUGGCGGACGGGUGAGUAACACGUGGAUAACCUACCUAUAAGACUGGGAUAACUUCGGGAAACCGGAGCUAAUACCGGAUAAUAUAUUGAACCGCAUGGUUCAAUAGUGAAAGACGGUUUUGCUGUCACUUAUAGAUGGAUCCGCGCCGCAUUAGCUAGUUGGUAAGGUAACGGCUUACCAAGGCAACGAUGCGUAGCCGACCUGAGAGGGGGAUGGGCCAACUGGGAACGGAGACACGGCCCAAAUCCCAAGGGGAGGCAGGGGUAGGAAAUCUUCCGCAAUGGGCGAAAGCUGGAGGGAGCAACGCCGCGGGAGUGAUGAAGGUCUUCGGAUCGUAAAACUUUGUUAUUGGGGAAAAAAAAAUGUGAAAGUAACUAUGCACGUUUUGACGGUACCUAAUCAGAAAGCCACGGCUAAUUACGU